Molecule: ribosomal RNA, 811 nt
Filed under: uncultured Actinomycetes bacterium
Lineage: Bacteria; Bacillati; Actinomycetota; Actinomycetes
Description: bacterial SSU rRNA
Rfam family: Bacterial small subunit ribosomal RNA
Source: RNAcentral
GAAAGGCCUGCAGCUUGCUGCGGGUACUCGAGUGGCGAACGGGUGAGUAACACGUGGGUGAUCUGCCUUGCACUUCGGGAUAAGCUUGGGAAACUGGGUCUAAUACCGGAUAGGACAGCUGUUUAGUGUCAGUUGUGGAAAGUUUUUUCGGUGCAAGAUGAGCUCGCGGCCUAUCAGCUUGUUGGUGGGGUAAUGGCCUACCAAGGCGUCGACGGGUAGCCGGCCUGAGAGGGUGUACGGCCACAUUGGGACUGAGAUACGGCCCAGACUCCUACGGGAGGCAGCAGUGGGGAAUAUUGCACAAUGGGCGGAAGCCUGAUGCAGCGACGCCGCGUGGGGGAUGAAGGCCUUCGGGUUGUAAACUCCUUUCGACAGGGACGAAGCGUAAGUGACGGUACCUGUAUAAGAAGCACCGGCUAACUACGUGCCAGCAGCCGCGGUAAUACGUAGGGUGCGAGCGUUGUCCGGAAUUACUGGGCGUAAAGAGCUCGUAGGUGGUUUGUCGCGUCGUCUGUGAAAUUCCGGGGCUUAACUCCGGGCGUGCAGGCGAUACGGGCUGACUUGAGUGCUGUAGGGGAGACUGGAAUUCCUGGUGUAGCGGUGAAAUGCGCAGAUAUCAGGAGGAACACCGAUGGCGAAGGCAGGUCUCUGGGCAGUAACUGACGCUGAGGAGCGAAAGCAUGGGUAGCGAACAGGAUUAGAUACCCUGGUAGUCCAUGCCGUAAACGGUGGGCGCUAGGUGUAGGGGGCUUCCACGUCUUCUGUGCCGUAGCUAACGCAUUAAGCGCCCCGCCUGGGGAGUACGGCCGCA